This 341-nucleotide unclassified non-coding RNA is filed under the name soil metagenome. RNAcentral describes it as "partial contains 5.8S ribosomal RNA, internal transcribed spacer 2, and large subunit ribosomal RNA". The stretch from base 1 to 120 matches the Rfam family "5.8S ribosomal RNA", at positions 35 to 154 of the family's 154-position model. The record is from RNAcentral.
GAUGAAGAACGUAGCGAAAUGCGAUAAGUAAUGUGAAUUGCAGAAUUCCGUGAAUCAUCGAAUCUUUGAACGCACAUUGCGCCCGCCAGUAUUCUGGCGGGCAUGCCUGUUCGAGCGUCAUUUCAACCCUCAAGCCCCCGGGCUUGGUGUUGGGGAUCGGCCGCCCUCCGGCGCGCCGGCCCCGAAAUCUAGUGGCGGUCUCGCUGUAGCCUCCUCUGCGUAGUAGCACACCUCGCACCGGAACGCAGCCUGGCCACGCCGUUAAACCCCCCACUUCUGAAGGUUGACCUCGGAUCAGGUAGGAAUACCCGCUGAACUUAAGCAUAUCAAUAAGCGGAGGA